RNAcentral lists this ribosomal RNA (579 nucleotides) under Triticum aestivum (bread wheat). Its description in RNAcentral is "partial small subunit ribosomal RNA". The record is from RNAcentral. Lineage: Eukaryota; Viridiplantae; Streptophyta; Magnoliopsida; Poales; Poaceae.
AUGUGCUUUAUUCGAAGGUUCUUGGAAGAGUUGGAAAUUGCUGCAGUUCGAACACCUCAAGUUCAGUUCGGACGAACUGUGAGACCAUGGGCUAAUACGUGGCUGCCACCCACGAGCGAUGCUGCAAAGAUAAACUGUGACGGUGGUUUGUCUACACUGGGAGAAAGGGGAGCAGUGGGAGCAAUAUGCAGAAAUAAAUCUGGAAUUUUUUUGGGUGCGUUGGCAGUGGUUUUCGAUGGCCCGACUGACCCAGCAAGCCUGGAGGCGCAAGCUUGCAGCGAGGCGCUAGCCCUUGCGCGAGAUUUACUUUUGCAGGACCUAGUGAUUGCUUCAAAUUGCUUAGAAGUUAUCUCAAACAUAAAAAAUGAAGGGUCGCCAGCUUAUGCGUCUAUCCUAAGGGAGAUUCAAACUAGUAUAAAUAGCUUUUCUUCUGUUGAUUUUCGUUUCGAACGUAGGGGGAAUAAUUUCGAGGCCCACUCACUAGCAAAAAGAGUUGCGUCUCUGGCGGUGGGUCACCAUGUGUGGCUAGGGGUUUUACCAGAGAUUGCAUGUAUUCCUGAUACUCUGAACUUUGAAUAA